CGCCCCUCGCUUCGCUCCAGGCCCCGUCACCUCACCUGGGUGGCCUUCCCCCACAGACUCGGAGGUGAAGAGGAACGUGCCCUCCUCGAUGAACGCGUCGUGGAAGCCGUUGAGCUGCCCGUUCAUGGUGAUGGCGAGAUCCCCGUUGGCCUUACUUAGGCCAGAAGACAACGGAGCCUGCUGAUGUCUAUACAGGUACCAUAUUAUACGGUAUGAAAGUGUAAAUGUAAUACCACAACCCUACUACCAGCUAUGACAUCUUUGGGUAACUGACCCUAAUGUGCGCUAUUUCCUCCACGAAUAUGUGAGCUGAAAGAUUCAGCCAUUCCAUCUAUGUGGUUGCCUCCAAAGCCCCCCGCCCCGCCUGACCUUUCUGGUGACUCUAGACCCACACAUCCACCUGCUUGAGGGAAAGUUCCACGUUGCUGUCAGACCAAUGCUGGCCCCAGAGUUCAACGCUCCAAACUGACCUCAUCGUUCUUCCAGGCUUGAAACCUAGGAUCUAUUUUCCACUCCUGCCUCUCCCUUGGCACAGUUAAUCCCCACAGCGGAGUCACCCGCUGCUGCUAGUGGCUUUCACACUCGUCACAUUGUAAAUAGCUGUGAGACGCAGUGGGUAUGUGACCUGUCACACAGACCAGGCAGAAUGGGUCCCCACCUGGAAGAGGCUGGCGUCAGUAUAGAAGUCCAUUAUAAACAUCAAAAGUGGUGUGUGGGGCUUCCCUCGUGGCGCAGUGGUUGAGAGUCCGCCUGCCGAUGUAGGGGACACGGGUUCGUGCCCCGGUCCGGGAGGAUCCCACGUGCCGCGGAGCGGCUGGGCCCGUGGGCCAUGGCCGCUGGGCCUGCGUGUCUGGAGCCUGUGCUCCGCGAUGGGAGAGGCCGCAACGGUGAGAGGUCCGCGUACCGCAAAAAAAAAAAAAAAAAAAAAAAAAAAAAAAAAAUGGUGUGUGGUGCUUCCCUGGUGGCGCAGUGGUUAAGAACCUGCCUGCCAAUGCAGGGGACACGGGUUCGAUCCCUGGUCCGGGAAGAUCCCACAUGCCGCGGAGCAACUAAGCCCAUGCACCACAACUACUGAGCCUGCGCUCUAGAGCCCACGAGCCACAACUGCUGGAGCCCGUGCGCCUAGAACCGUGCUCUGCACCAAGAGAAGCCACCGCAAUGAGAAGUCCAUGCACCGCAACGAAAAGUAGCCCCCGCUCGCCACAACUAGAGAAAGCCUGUGCGCAGCAACGAAGACCCAACGCAGCCAAAAAAUAAUAAUAAAUAAAUAAAAGUGGUGUGUGACCGUGCGGGGGACAAGGGGGUGAGGGCAGGGGAGAUGGGAGGAGGCAGAGAUAUGGUCAAGGUCUAUGUCAGAUCACCAGGGUAAGAGGGGUCAACAAGCAGGGCAAGCAUAAGAAUUGACGUCGUGAGCCAGGAGCAGACCUGGGAGCUGAGUUGACGGGGCUCAUAGGACAGAGCAUGGGAGCUCUCACUGGUUUAUAGGGAUGGAGUUUGCUUUGGGGGGUCAGAGGUGGGUUCCCCUUGGAGAGGCCCAGGCCUGCAUUUUCUCAGCUGUGUUGUGGCCCUGGGCUCGUGGAACCAUGUACACCUAUCAAUUCCCUCCUUUCCAUCCUCCUGACCACACCCCAGCCCAGAGGGAUUCCUUACUUGCCUGAAAGUUGGGAACGAUCUGGUCUCUCUGCCUGGCAUCAGACCAUUAUGCAUUGCAGCCUCUGGAGAAGGAGCAACCAACAUCCACUGCACACCCGCUGAGGCCUUUUGUGUAUUUUAUCACAUUCAUCCCGGCAGCAAGACAUGAUGGUGACAUCUGACAUUUGUUCCCUACCUCUGGUUUGUGUUUUAUUUUCACAAACACGAACUCAUUUGACCCUGUGGCAACCCAGUGAAGUGGUCAGAGCCCUAUUUGGUGGAUGAGAAAACUGGAGCCAGAGGGAUUAAACUGACCACCCAAAGGCACCCAGGUCCUUGUUACUCAAAGUAUAGUCCAUCAGUAUCACCUGGGGGCUUGUUAGAAACACAGGAUCUUGGGCCCACCCAGGCCACAAAACCAGAAUCAGCAUUUUAACAGGAGCCUUCCCCGCCCGACCCGCCAGGGAUUCGCUGGCCUGAGCAGUUGUUGGAGGAGAAACCAGCCUUACACGGCUAAGUCCACUCCAGUCCACAAUGUUUGACACAAAUACCCGAAGGUUACAUGCAACUCUCUGGGUCAAGCUUGGCCACCGGCUGGGAGUGAAAUUGACCAAGUCGGGGAUUGGAUGGUGGGAGAAGAGGGGAAGAGGGAUGUCAAGCUGAGGGGCGUUUGUGGAGGUUUUGCUGGGUGCCCGUGGCUAUGGUUCCAGGCACACAUGGCGAGGAGGCCCCGGAGCUGAGUGCAGCUGGGGAGCGAGACACAGGAGCCCAUCAGAGCAGAUUGCAACCCAGCACACAGGGGUGAGCUAAGUGGUGCGGCCGCACGGUUAGUGCUGGAGAAAGGGCCGGUCCAUCGGGAGUGGAGGGUCUUCCUGAGCAGAGGCAGAAGGAAGGCAGGAGGAGGCAAGUAGGCCUGGAGUGUGGUGGGCCCUUCAGACCAGGUGAGGGAGUGCAAGUUCGGUCUGGUGGGCAGUGUCUUUGGAGGGUCUUGGCCUGAGAGUGUCUUACUCACUUCUGUACCUUUUGUUACCCUCACCAGUCUCCCCUUCUCAGGGAAACUUCUGUGUUUACCAUCCCUCUUAGGACCUUGCAGCUGGUAGAACUGCUCCCUGCCAAUUCUCAGCAUCCGAAUUUACAUCCACCAGGUCCCCUUCCCUCUUUCUGAGUCUUGAGAAGACCACCACUUGUUACCCAGUCACUCAGCCACUCACCUUGGGAGUGAUCCCUGACUCCUCCCUUUCUUAUGACGUCCACAUUCAGUUCGAUUGCCUCUGCUCUGAAUUAUCUCUGAUAAGAACCCUUUAUCCAAGAAGAUGUGACACAUAUAUACAAUGGAAUAUUACUCAGCCAUAAAAAGAAACGAAAUUGAGUUAUUUGUAGUGAGGUGGAUGGACCUAGAGUCUGUCAUACAGAGUGAAGUAAGUCAGAAAGAGAAAAACAAAUACCGUAUGCUAACACAUAUAUAUGGAAUCUAAAAAAAAAAAAAAGGUUCUGAUGAACCUAGGGGCAGGACAGGAAUAAAGACGCAGGCAUAGGGAAAGGACUUGAGGACACGGGGAGAGGGAAGGGUAAGAUGGGAUAAGUGAGAGAGUGGCAUGGACCUAUAUACACUACCAAAUGUAAAAUAGAUAGCUAGUGGGAAACAGCUGCAUAGCACAGGAGAUCAGCUCUGUGCUUUGUGUCCACCUCGAGGGGUGGGAUAGGGAGGGUGGGAGGGAGACGCAAGAGGGAGGGGAUAUAGGGAUAUAUGUAUACGUAUAGCUGAUUCACUUUGUUAUAUAGCAGCAACUAACACAACAUUGUAAAGCAAUUAUACGCCAAUAAAGAUGUUUAAAAAAAAAAAAGAACCCUUUAUCCGUAAAGGGUUUCCUUACCUCCAGUAUCCCCACUCCACACACAGGAGUCUUGGAGGUUUCCUUUGAUGAGCCCAAAUUCUGCAGCCUCAGCUAUUGUUCAUAGCUCUCCACACCUUCCUCCCACCUGACUCUACCUCUCACUUUCCCCAGGGUUCCUGUUGAGACAGUCACCGGCCUGGGGAGACCUCCUGUCUUUGCGUCUUCUAUCCAAAGCCUGCCUCUCUUUCUAUGCCUAUUACAUGCCUUCACUUCUUUUAUGUUGGGCUUAGAACCAGGGAUUUGUGAUGAGUUGCCCCAAUGUUCAUGAUGAUUUCUGUUAUGCACAAAUGUCCUAGAAGAGACUGGAAUAAAGUAACAACAUAGCAACCA
Long non-coding RNA from Orcinus orca (killer whale), 3857 nucleotides. RefSeq lists it as uncharacterized. Lineage: Eukaryota; Metazoa; Chordata; Mammalia; Artiodactyla; Delphinidae. The record is from RefSeq and is a predicted model, not a curated record. The transcript is spliced from 4 exons.